AUUUUAUAGCUAGUAUAUAUAAAAGGUUGCAUGCAGCUUUACUUUACUGAAAAUUAUUAACAGGUUUUCAUACAAUAUUUUAUGUGAUAAAAAUGUUUGAAAAGAUAUGUUUAUUAAAAAGACAUAUUUAAGAACAUAUAUGAUGGUACACACAAAGAUCCUCAAAUGGUAUCAUAUAUGGUCCAUAGUAGGCCAAGUAUUAUCAAUUUCUUUAUUCUGUUUCAGCGGAUAUAUGUUGAAAAUCAUUCCAGUUGAAACAAUUUCAUUAUAUAAUAUUGAUAUUAUAUACAUAUCAAUUGAAAAUAAUAUAAAAGCUAUAUUGCAUAUCUAUUUUUGAGGCAAACAAGAACAUAUUAUUUCCUGUUUUCAACUGUUUUCUU
This 380-nucleotide long non-coding RNA is filed under the name Mytilus galloprovincialis (Mediterranean mussel). Lineage: Eukaryota; Metazoa; Mollusca; Bivalvia; Mytilida; Mytilidae. The record is from RNAcentral.